AAAGAACUCACAGCCUUACCAAUCAUGCAUAAUAACACUACCCCAACAAAGGGGCACCGGUAAAGGUGCUAUAACAUUUCAGGUGGGACCUGAAGUCAGAGAGACAGCAUGGAUCAUAAGCAAGAUGCAUCUGAACCAAUUCAGCUAAGAGUAAGAUGAAAAUGGAGAGCCACUUUGGCCCUGAUGCCACCUGUGAGCAGGGGUUUUGCCCACAUGGGGCCAUUGGGCUGAAGUGAGGAGUUACAGAAGAAGAGCUGUGAGGGAGACAAGGAAAGCAGAGGAGGACACAGGGGGAGGAGAGGAGAUGGACAAGCAGGUGACAAAAGAAGGCAAAUGAUGGGAAAAAGUCAGAGGAGAGAGCAACAGGAAAAGGGGA
Molecule: long non-coding RNA, 376 nt
Filed under: Chinchilla lanigera (long-tailed chinchilla)
Lineage: Eukaryota; Metazoa; Chordata; Mammalia; Rodentia; Chinchillidae
Description: lncRNA (ENSCLAG00000026826.1)
Source: RNAcentral